RNAcentral lists this ribosomal RNA (301 nucleotides) under uncultured bacterium. RNAcentral describes it as "partial 16S ribosomal RNA". It matches the Rfam family "Bacterial small subunit ribosomal RNA", at positions 509 to 807 of the family's 1533-position model. The record is from RNAcentral.
CAGUCGCCGCGGGAAAACGGAGGGGGCUAGCGUUGUUCGGAAUUACUGGGCGUAAAGCGCACGUAGGCGGCUUGGUAAGUUAGAGGUGAAAGCCCGGAGCUCAACUCCGGAAUUGCCUUUAAGACUGCCGAGCUAGCAGGUGAGAGAGGUAAGUGGAAUUCCGAGUGUAGAGGUGAAAUUCGUAGAUAUUCGGAAGAACACCAGUGGCGAAGGCGGCUUACUGGCUCAUACUGGACGCUGAGGUGCGAAAGCGUGGGGAGCAAACAGGAUUAGAUACCCGAGUAGUCCCUGUCUCUUAUAC